Molecule: ribosomal RNA, 117 nt
Filed under: Danio rerio (zebrafish)
Lineage: Eukaryota; Metazoa; Chordata; Actinopteri; Cypriniformes; Danionidae
Source: RNAcentral
AGCCACAGCCAUGUCACCCUGCAGCCCAAGACCGGUUACUCACUAAAGCUAAGCAGGGCUGAGCCUGGUCAGUACCUGGAUGGGAGACCACUUAAGAAAACUAGGUUGCUGUUGAAA